RNAcentral lists this ribosomal RNA (409 nucleotides) under bacterium. RNAcentral describes it as "partial 16S ribosomal RNA". It matches the Rfam family "Bacterial small subunit ribosomal RNA", at positions 355 to 776 of the family's 1533-position model. The record is from RNAcentral.
UGGGGAAUAUUGCACAAUGGGCGAAAGCCUGAUGCAGCGACGCCGCGUGAGGGAUGACGGCCUUCGGGUUGUAAACCUCUUUCAGCAGGGACGAAGCGCAAGUGACGGGACCUGCAGAAGAAGCACCGGCUAACUACGUGCCAGCAGCCGCGGUAAUACGUAGGGUGCAAGCGUUGUCCGGAAUUACUGGGCGUAAAGAGUUCGUAGGCGGUUUGUCGCGUCGUUUGUGAAAACCAGCAGCUCAACUGCUGGCUUGCAGGCGAUACGGGCAGACUUGAGUACUGCAGGGGAGACUGGAAUUCCUGGUGUAGCGGUGAAAUGCGCAGAUAUCAGGAGGAACACCGGUGGCGAAGGCGGGUCUCUGGGCAGUAACUGACGCUGAGGAACGAAAGCGUGGGUAGCGAACAGG